This 511-nucleotide long non-coding RNA is filed under the name Phoenix dactylifera (date palm). RNAcentral describes it as "long non-coding RNA (PDAC_LNC014961)". Lineage: Eukaryota; Viridiplantae; Streptophyta; Magnoliopsida; Arecales; Arecaceae. The record is from RNAcentral.
CUGGAUAAUCUCUUAUAUUGCCAUGUUUAUGAAAGAAAAAAAACUUGUACAAACUCUCGUAAAUCUAACCGAGCUAAACUCUCGUACAUCUCCCCCUCCUGAAGACAUCCACUGGAAAAACAAAAAUUUAAUUAAAAAAAAAACUAGACGGAACUCAACAAUUCAGGCUGAUGGAUUCAAUAACGAAAAAAAUGUCCAUUUCAGAACAAACUACAUGUGGAUGGCAGAAGCUGACCAUGCUCGAUUAUUUUAACAAAUCUAUUGGCAAGACAUUCGACUGCCAUUUUGGAAGCCUCAGAAAUCCAUCUGCAAAUACUGCAUUCCACUGUCUCUGUGUCAUUUGUGCUUAGGCCGCUGCUUGAGCUUCUGCAGUAAAAGGUAUUGGCUUGGUUGGGGCAGGUAGGCGACCGAUGCUAUCAACCUUAUCUCGCUGCUUUGGUGGGGGCCUGGCAGCUCUUGGUAAGAGGCGUCCCUUCUUGGCAAACCACUCAGGCUUGAGCAGUGCCUGGAA